ACAGUCACACAUUAGAUACCCGCGUAGUCCCAGCCCUAAACGAUGCGCGUUAGGUGUAUCGGUGACCACGAGUCACCGAGGUGCCGAAGGGAACCGUGAAACGUGCCGCCUGGGAAGUACGGUCGCAAGGCUAGAAACUUAAAGGAAUUGGCGGGGAGCACCACAACGGGUGGAGCCUGCGGUUUAAUUGGACUCAACGCCGGGAAGCUCACCGGAUAAGACAGCGGAAUGAUUGCCGGGCUGAAGACCCUGCAUGACCAGCUG
RNAcentral lists this ribosomal RNA (264 nucleotides) under uncultured archaeon. RNAcentral's name for it is "partial 16S ribosomal RNA". It matches the Rfam family "Archaeal small subunit ribosomal RNA", at positions 719 to 982 of the family's 1478-position model. The record is from RNAcentral.